AGAAUCAACGCUGGCGGCGUGCCUAACACAUGCAAGUCGCACGAGAAAGGGGAGCAAUCCAUGAGUACAGUGGCGCACGGGUGAGUAACACGUGACUAACCUACCCUUGAGUGGGGAAUAACCUGGAGAAAUCUAGGCUAAUACCGCAUAACACCUACGGGUCAAAGGAGCAAUUCGCUUAAGGAGGGGGUCGCGGCAGAUUAGCUAGUUGGCGGGGUAAUGGCCCACCAAGGCAGUGAUCUGUA
This 245-nucleotide ribosomal RNA is filed under the name uncultured bacterium. RNAcentral describes it as "partial small subunit ribosomal RNA". It matches the Rfam family "Bacterial small subunit ribosomal RNA", at positions 26 to 285 of the family's 1533-position model. The record is from RNAcentral.